GGUAGAUUAGAGUCUAAAUAAUCUCAUGGAGAGACCAAGCUUUGGCAAUGCUUGGUCUCUACCUUUCUUUCAUUCGAUUCUCUUCACCAUUCUCUAAACGAUUCUAUAAGGGGUUUUGUGUUCUGUUUUGGUGUGAGAGAGCUGCUGCCUCUCAUACUUAUUCUUGAGUAUACACAGCUCAUAUUGGCGUGUAUAACUCUUUAUUCUACUUAAGAACAGCUCUCAUUGAGCUCGUUUCNNNNNNNNNNNNNNNNNNNNNNNNNNNNNNNNNNNNNNNNNNNNNNNNNNNNNNNNNNNNNNNNNNNNNNNNNNNNNNNNNNNNNNNNNNNNNNNNNNNNNNNNNNNNNNNNNNNNNNNNNNNNNNNNNNNNNNNNNNNNNNNNNNNNNNNNNNNNNNNNAAAGAAAUCCAGAGGAAAUCUCUGUCCAAACACCCACAAACACCCAAACACUCAUUCUCUUUUCUAUUCCGCAAAAUCUCUCAUUCUUGGUUACUAAAUCUCUCAUUCUGGUUACUCUAUUCUCUUGGCUAAUUAUUCUCAAAAUCUUGGUUACUCAUACUCUCAUUCUGGUUACAAAUACUCUUAUGAACCUUGUUGGUUCUUGAAGGCACAACACAAUGCUUGAAGUUAGAACCAAUGGCCAUCAAGCUUUGGAGACCACAAGGAUGUUCUUUCUAGCGAGUCAAAGCUUGGAAGAUCAAGGGAAAACCCGCGAGGCUUACCGAGGGUGAAUGCUAUGGUUGAGGUUCUUGUGGAGACGCCUAAUGGAAAGGCAAGCUGGUGGAAAGUGAUGAAUCAACUCAAGACAUGUGUGUUAGCGUCACGUUGUUGGAGUUCAAGAUUGGAUGUGCACUAGGUGUCAAUUAUACUAGGCACAAGGUUUCUUGACUCAAGGGAUGGCCCAAGCCAUAGAAAACUCAAGUUAUUGGUUCCCAAGAUGAUUCAACAUCUUGGUUACGAAGUCACAAAUUCUUGUUAUAUUCUCGGCAAGAAGCAAAGUCUCUGUCGAAGCGUCUUAAAGAUCGACUCGUACGAAGGCCUUUCACUGUGAUUCAGCUCCAAUGUCCUUCAUACAAGUUCUUGGAAAUUGAGUAAGCUUUCCAGUGGAAGUAAAAUCAUCCGGAUACGAGCAGGCGUUAAGAAGUUAUGACCCAUUCAGUGGGAACAUAUCAUUCUGACGCGAAUAAGAAGAAGCAAUCGACCAUGAAGGUCGGUUAAGAGAUCGAUUGGCCAUUGAAUGGCAACGAACAAAGCUUCCAAUGAAGCCAAAUUGAAGUCAAGAAGUGUUCUAUCUCUCCUAAGCUUCAAGGGAAGCUACAAAGAAGAAAGAAAGAAGAAAGAAGCGGCUGGAGAAGAAGUCUCCAAGCCGACCAUGAGCUCUCGACCGAUCGAUCCCUCCAUUUUCAUCAUCGAGACCGAUCGAUCUCUCCAUCAUCGAGACCGAGUUGUCUCGACCGAUCGACCAUGAGCUCUCGACCGAUCGAUCUCUUCAUCUCCAUCAUCGACACCGAGCUCUUGACCGAUCGACCGAUCGACCAUGAGCUCCCGACCGAUCGAUCAGCUGUGUCCGGGUCUUGACCGUACGUCCAUACAUUCGCCAACCAUGAAGCUCAUCCAAAGUUGGAUGUAGAAGAGGUGGAUUGAGUUCUAGUAGUCAUCAACCAUGAAGAGGAGACCAAUGGGCAGAAACUCAAAUGGUGAUGCAAACCAAGUCUCAUCCAACCAUUUACAACAAAGAAGACAAAAGGCUAAUUCUAAACCUUACUCUUUAAAUUUUGUUGAUUAGAUUACUCAUUUUUGAACUUGAAAUUGCAUGAUGAUCAUAAUUGGAGUUUCAUUGUUUAAAAUGAUUUUAGGUGUUGAUUGUGAUUUGAAUUGUUAAGUUGACAAAAUAUGAUUAGUGUUAGUCAUAUUUUUGAUUUAGAUUUAUCAAGGUUGAAUUUAUUUACAUUUAAAUUCUCUUUUCAAAUAUUUCUUUAAUUCAGUUUUGAGGUUUUUGAAAAUGGUAGCAAUAUUUCUAAAAUCGAUUUAAAAUUACUUUUAAAGUUGAAAAUAUUUUAAAAUAUUUUUUCAAACGAUUUUUAUUAUUUUUAAAAGGUGAAAAAUAGUUUUAUAAGUACUUUAUAAGGUUUUUAAAAGCUUAAUACCAGUUUUUAAAAUUAUUUCCAUGACAUUAGUCAAUUUGUUAAAAUCUGUUUUAUGAACUGAAUUUGAAAUUGGAUUUUAGCUUGUUUUAAAAACAGCAUUUCAUGUUUAUUAUUUGAUUUAUAUUCUUGUAGUUCAAUUUAAGUUUGUUCUCCAUGUCUCAUCUAAGCUUAAUGUUACUUUUAUGGCAAAUAUACUUAAGGUUUAUUUAUAUCUUUUGAUUGAAGGUGUAAAAGAGAAAGAAAGCCAUAGAGAAACUAGAUGAGAAGAAGAGAACCGGUUAGAUCAUGGAAGCUAUGGUACGGAAAGGGAAGAAGCAAGGCUAAUGGUGGCUUGACUAAACAAAGGAAGAUCAAUCCAUGGUGGUGACUGAAAGGAGGAGUUCCUUAAGCGAGUACACACACGUAGGAUUAGAGUCUCAACAAGAAGUCAAAGCAAGAAGCCUAAGCAAACCCGCAUACAAACCAUGACCAUAGCUACAUCAUUCAACCAUGAAGGCUAUACUCUUUUUCCCUUAGCAAAGUUUUAUCCCAAGUGGUUUUCUUUGCUAAGGUUUUUAACGAGGUAGUCCUUUAUGUGUUGCAAGCUUGGUCUUUGGUCCCCAACGUCCAAGCUUGAGGGGGAGUAUUGAGAGGAAGAAGCUAAUGGGAAAGCUCAAGUCCGAAGUCUAGAAGACUAGGGCGAGUUCAUGUGGUUCAAGGAGUGAUACUUGAUCAUGCUCAUUUACGUCCAAGCUUAACCUCCAUCCCUUCCGGUCAAGCUUGAGGGGGAGUAUUGAAAUAAAUGAGCACAAGUCAAGAAGGUACUGAACUCGAUGGGAAGAAGUGAUGAAAGAAGCUAGAUCAUACAUCCGGUGGUUUGAUCAUAAGUGCAUUCAACGCAUGUCGUACGGACUUUGUGAUCAAAGUAAAUGGGUUAUCAUGGAUAUAAGAAGAAGCUUAAGAGUGUGAAGGCUGAAGGCAAGUAGUACAAAUGAAGACAUGAGCUAUCGUCCAUGAGUUGUUGUGAUUAACAACAAGGGACCGAUCGAUCUAUAUACUAGAACGAUCGGUCCGAAGGAACUCCAUCCAUGAUCGACCAUACGACCGACCAAGAGACCGAUCGGUCGUCAAUCGGGAUCGAUCCUUGGUCGAGAGAUGGGAUCGACCGUUCAUCGAUCCGGGAUCGAGAAAUCCAUCCGUCCGGGAUCGAGAAAUCCAUCCGUCCGGGAUCAAGAAAUCCAUCCGUCCGGGAUCGAGAAAUCCUUCCGUCCGUACAAGCCCAUCCGAACAAGCCCGUCCGUACAAGUCCGUCCGUACAACAUCGUUUUGUUUCAUCAAGCCUCAUCCUCUAGGCCCAUGAACGACCUCGCAAGAAGCCCUACCAAGGUUACAAGAAGCUGAACUAAAGACCUAGAACCUUCCCUUGCACAAUAUAACCGUUGGAGCUUAAAAACAAGGAAGGAUCACAUGUUGGCUUAAGGAACAACACCCAAAGCACCUGUCGCUUUCUCUUCUCUUUAGUGAUGAUAUUUUGGCUUUAAGUGAGUGUCUUUGAAGCUCAUAACCGUUGAUAUUAGGUUUAGAAGGGAUACUCUUAUCCCAUUUACACAUUGUAUAAAUAUGUAACUCAUAUGUUCUAAUAAAGAAAAGCUCUCUUUUGGGAGUCUUCCACUUUAUACAAAUCGUCUUCUAUACUUACAAAUGGGUAGAUUAGAGUCUAAAUAAUCUCAUGGAGAGACCGAGCUUUGGCAAUGCUUGGUCUCUACCUUUCUUUCAUUCGAUUCUCUUCACCAUUCUCUAAACGAUUCUAUAAGGGGUUUUGUGUUCUGUUUUGGUGUGAGAGAGCUGCUGCCUCUCAUACUUAUUCUUGAGUAUACACAGCUCAUAUUGGCGUGUAUAACUCUUUAUUCUACUGAAGAACAGCUCUCAUUGAGCUCGUUUCUUUGUUGUUAUACACAAGAGCACACAAAGUCAGAUUUGGUGUUCUUGUGAGUCUCUUGUGAGUUUUAUGGAGAUGAAUAGAUCUUGCAGCUCAUUCUCUUUGAAAUCUUACA
Molecule: long non-coding RNA, 4179 nt
Filed under: Capsella rubella
Lineage: Eukaryota; Viridiplantae; Streptophyta; Magnoliopsida; Brassicales; Brassicaceae
Description: long non-coding RNA (CRUB_LNC000266)
Source: RNAcentral